This 1065-nucleotide ribosomal RNA is filed under the name Triticum aestivum (bread wheat). RNAcentral's name for it is "partial small subunit ribosomal RNA". Lineage: Eukaryota; Viridiplantae; Streptophyta; Magnoliopsida; Poales; Poaceae. The record is from RNAcentral.
AUGGCGAAGUUCGGCGAGGGCGACGCACGCUGGAUCGUGCAGGAGCGCGCCGACGGUGCCAACGUCCACAACUGGCACUGGGCGGAGCGCGACUGUCUCGACUGGUCUCGCGCGCUUCUCUCCAAGCUCCUCGCGGGCCUCCCCGUCCUCUCCGGAGAGGGCGGCCUCACCCUCCGCACCACCACCCUCGACAAGCUUGAUGGCGAGGCCUACGUCAACAUCCGCAAGGGCAAGGUCAUCCCAGGGUACGAGCUUUCCCUCACGCUCGCCUGGGAGGCCGAUGCCACAACCGAGUCGGGGCUCGUCAAGGUCACCGGCACCGCUGAGGUACCCUACCUCGCUGACGAGAACGCCGACGAGGACCCCGAACUCCGCAUCACUGUUCGCGGUGACGACGGCCCCCUCGCGCGCCGGGCCAAGGAUGCUUUCAUCGCCCAUGGCAAGCCUCUGGUCAUUGCCAAGAUCCGGGAUUAUGUCGCCGCCAUGGCGAAUGGUGGCCCCGCCAAGGACGAGAUAGAUUCUAAGAAGAUUUCCACCAAGGCCGCCCCAGCGGCUGUUGCUCCUGCUCCUUCAGUGAAGGUGACAGCAGCGCCAGUGCAGGCGCCAGCAGCUAAGGAGAAGAAGGCGAAUGGCAAGGAUAAGGAAGGAUUCAAGACUAUCGAGAUGACAGAGAAGUUCAACUGCCGCUCCAAGGACAUCUAUGAGAUCUUGAUGGAUGACAACAGGUGGAAGGGUUUCACACAGAGCAACGCGAGGAUCAGCAAGGAUGUUGGUGGGCAGUUUAGCCUCUUUGAUGGGUCCAUCACAGGUGUUAAUGAGGAGCUGCAGGAAGGGAAGCUGAUCGUGCAGAAAUGGCGGUUUGGGAGCUGGGCUGAUGGUGUCCAUUCUACAGUCAGGUUGGUGUUUGAUGAGCCUGAGUCAGGAGUGACAAUAAUAAAGCUCAAACAAACUGAUGUGCCAGAGGAAGACAGGUAUGGGAACUCAACCGUGGUGGAGAACACCGAGAAAGGCUGGAAAGAGCUCAUCUUCCAGAGGAUACGUGCAGUGUUCGGUUUUGGGGUCUGA